UUAUCCUCUCACCCGAAGUUCUCUUGCCUUCUCCAACCUGUAUUCGUCCUCGAACAACCAAUAUAGUCCCUCAGUCGGAGAAUCAAGUCCACUCCGUUACGCUCACACCAGCGAGUGCCGCAGAUCCGUCAUACCCUUCACCGUGCAGCUUCGCCACAGCCGUGGGAAAGUGUAACCUCAACUCGAUCGCGUGACAACAGUAACCGACGGCUAUCGGACCAUCCGUCGCCCAGAUCUGCACCAUUGCCGACCAGAUCUACACCACGCUAGUCCGUUUCCCCCUAAGUACAAGUACGCAAAUGGAGCAGUCCCAAAUUCAGUUGACGCCAUCCAAAACUUUGUGCAAGCGCGGUACUAAACAGGCGCUGCAGCAGUCCGCAAACGUGCAUAAAGCAUCUUGGGACUCCGACACGGUGCGGAUUUUCCUGGAACUUGUUAUCAAGGAGUUGGACGCCGGUUUCAAGGGGAGCUUCCAUACAAUGACAAUGCAUGGAUAUAGAGCUGUCUGCAAGGGCUUCCAGGAGCAUACAAAUAAGGUGCAUGACGUCAAGCAACUACAAAACAAGUACGCGCUAAUAAAAAAGGAUUGGUAGUCGUGGUUGAAACUGAUGGACAACAGGCAUGGGCCAACCGACAUAAGUUACAAUGAAGCGACGGGUUUGAUACAAGCAUCUAACGACUGGUGGGCACAUUACGAAAAGGUCGACAAGAAUGCAAUCAAGUUCAAAACGAAACCGUUGGAGCACAUGGACCUCAUGCGAAGGGUGUACGAAGGCGCAAUAGCAACCAGCAAAUAUGCAUGGACACCAGGUGCAGCGUUCGAACCUAUUGCAACCGAUGACGGUACAUCGCCGAUGGAUGAAGAAGAUUGCUAGGACAGCAGCAGUUUGCCCCCUUUCUAGCCUGCAGCGCAGCGUAAAGACACUGUCCACCACAUUUCUGCGCUAGAGGAUGACACGUCGGUGACCGUACACGCUGCGUCGUCGCCAAUUAACACUGAUGACACACCAACAAGUGGCGGCAGCAAAUGCAAAUUUAUUCGCACAACAUGUCCACAGUGAAAAAAAAGGCAGAGUGAGGGAGCUUCGCUGUUGGCGAGUAGCAUGGAAAACCUUGCAUCUUCAGUUAAAUUACAACAACGAGAAGUCCGCGUGCGUCAUGAUUAUGGAGAUUCGACACAGGACCUCAUUGACAAGUGUAUGAGAUGGUUGUACUCGCUAGAAGGGCUGGAUCUGCAAGACCCGCUAAUUGUUUUUGGUUUGACGGUACUGGACAACCCGGCAAAUCAAGCCAUAAUGGUAUGGAUUCCGACAGACACGGCUGUCAUUAGUUGGCUACGAAUGAAGAAGGCCCAAAGUAUGCACAACCCAUCAGCAGCAAACUUCGGAAUGGAUGGUGGCUAGUUCUGAGCAUUGUCUAGCAUACUUGUCAUGUUGGAACUUGUUUGUGUGUUGGUUUUUUUUUUUUUUUUCCUUUCGAACAAACAGUGUAACAUUUUUCUUUCUUCCAAAAAACUGUGACAUUGUGCAUGGAAUUUGUACGACUUUAUCAAUCGCUUGUUUUGUUUGAUGAUGUUGAUGUUAUUAUCAACUACAUGCUUGCAGCUGUUUAGGUGAAACAGGUUUUCUCAAUUAUUGAGUUACUAUUUGUGUGAAAGGGCAUUAUGGAACAACUCUACCUUAUAGAACUGCUGCAGAUUUUGCAAUUUGUGUAUGUGUGACCAGUUGAGACAUGUACUUGAUUAAUGGACCAGAAUGAGUUUAUUUUGCAUUAUGGAAGCUAAUGAGUUUA
This is a non-coding RNA of Camellia sinensis, 1791 nucleotides long. Lineage: Eukaryota; Viridiplantae; Streptophyta; Magnoliopsida; Ericales; Theaceae. The record is from RefSeq and is a predicted model, not a curated record.